This 360-nucleotide ribosomal RNA is filed under the name Triticum aestivum (bread wheat). Its description in RNAcentral is "partial small subunit ribosomal RNA". The record is from RNAcentral. Lineage: Eukaryota; Viridiplantae; Streptophyta; Magnoliopsida; Poales; Poaceae.
AUGAGGUCUUCGCACAUGUGGCCCGGCUGGAGACAGUGUGUGUCCUACUUGCCGUGGCCGCGCACCGGAGCUGGAGUGUGCACCACAUGGAUGUGCGCUCGGCCUUCCUCAAUGGUGAGAUGGAGGAGGAAGUGUAUGUGCACCAGCCAGCAGGUUUCAUCAACAACGACGAUGCACACAAGGUACUCAAGCUGCGAAAAGCGAUGUACGGGCUCCGGCAGGCUCCACGGGCCUGGAACGCCAAGUUGGACUUCACACUGCAGUCACUUGGGUUCGCGAGGUGUUAGUUGGAUCAUGCUCUGUACAGGCGCGGGGACGACUCAGAUUUCCUGCUGGUGGGGGUGUACGUCGACGACCUGA